Molecule: long non-coding RNA, 818 nt
Organism: Ziziphus jujuba (common jujube)
Lineage: Eukaryota; Viridiplantae; Streptophyta; Magnoliopsida; Rosales; Rhamnaceae
Exons: 2
Source: RefSeq, a predicted model, not a curated record
GGUUGCAACUUCUAUCCCAUUCAGCAUUUUGUCAUUAUUAGAGUAAACCAAGAGCAUAUCCUGGUUUUAUACCUUCAUUUUGCUAAUCCAUACAAGCACAUAGCCUAUUAGUUGUUGAAGGCUGUUACUAUUCUUUUCUUAUUCAUUCUUCCAGAUGCUUUUUUUGUAUUUUAUGCAAGUGAAAGAUGAGGCACAGCAGCUAGCUCUCAUUUUCGAAGAAACUGUUGGAGCUUUCAAGAACAAAAUUGCAGUUAAUGGUUCAUGUCAUAGAAAGCCAUGUCUAGGCUUAUCCAAGGGGUUUAAAAGAUCAGUGUUUGUCUACCUGCUUCAUCCUGUGCACUUUUCUUGAUUAUCCGUAGGGGAUGUGGGCAAGCCAAUCGUUUUCUCUUCCAGAGUUCCAGGAAACACAGGAGAAUAUAUGGCAAAAUUGAAGCUUCACACUGAAGUCACUGCCCAAUUGAGGGUAAUUGUCUAUGCUAACUAAGUUAUCAAAGGAGGCCACUUCUUUAUAAAUUUUGUUAAUAGAAGGUACUUGGUCAUGUAAGUCCAUAUUAUAUCAGGAAGCUAUUUCACAAUUAUUGAAGCCCUUCAAAUUGCUGGGAGAAAAAACCACUGGCCCUGUUUAGUGGUUGUACACUUUGCUUUUGGUUUUUUUGUUAAUGGGUUCUACACAUGAUCAAAAUAUGCCUCCAAACGACUUGAUGGUUGUUCUCACAUAACAUGGUUCAAAUUGCUGCUUUAAAUUACUCAUUUUUGAAUCCUUUGUAUUUAUUGUUUAUAUAUAUAUAUAUAUAUAUAUGUAUUUAUAUCUCUCUAAA